This 76-nucleotide transfer RNA is filed under the name Gammaproteobacteria bacterium. RNAcentral describes it as "tRNA-Thr". It matches the Rfam family "tRNA". From Rfam's summary of the family: Transfer RNA (tRNA) molecules are approximately 80 nucleotides in length. Their secondary structure includes four short double-helical elements and three loops (D, anti-codon, and T loops). Lineage: Bacteria; Pseudomonadati; Pseudomonadota; Gammaproteobacteria. The record is from RNAcentral.
GCCGCUUUAGCUCAGUUGGUAGAGCAACCGCUUCGUAAGUGGUAGGUCAAGUGUUCGAGUCACUUAAGCGGCACCA